This 73-nucleotide transfer RNA is filed under the name Lactarius trivialis. RNAcentral describes it as "tRNA-Ser". The record is from RNAcentral. Lineage: Eukaryota; Fungi; Basidiomycota; Agaricomycetes; Russulales; Russulaceae.
UAGACGGUAGUUUAAAGGAAUAAUGGUAAUAUUGCUCACAUUGCAGAUAUCAGUUCAAAUCUGAUUCGUCUAU